CUGACAAGUAUUCUCCAGGACAUGAGAUGCAGGAAUCGUGGGGUCAGAUUCUUAUUUAAACUGGGAUGGAGAGAACGGGAGAGGGCUGCGGAAGGCAAGGGAGGACUGCUUGAACAGGGGUGUACUGUUUUUCUGCCUCUUCAAUGCACCCAAACUUUACCACGCCAGCAGGACAAAGGUUAGGGAAGAGCUGAUAAGCUGGGCAUCAGAUCUGCCGCUGAGAGGCAGAGAGUGCCCGGCUGCCAGAGUCACUGAACUUUCAGAAGAGGAGCCACUGGAGAGAGGGGAGCUACCAGCCCAGGUGAGCAUCCAGAGGAAACUGUAUUCUCGGAGCUUAGAGGUCUGAGGAAUGGUUCUUAUCGGAUGGUUCUACUACCGCCAGUUACGGUCUUGGCUACAUCCUUCGGCACCUGCUGCCAGUGUUUCAAAUGAAAGAAAGAUACCAGCUGAAGAGGGUGUUUCUGACUAACUCAGGGUCGGCAUGCUGAGUAAGUUAAACUGCAGAGGACACUCCUCCCAGCGCGUGGCCCAUGGGGAAGAGUCUCAACCUACCAGUUCCACAGACACAGAUACCAGCUGUAUGUGCUGAUCCUGAUAAAACCGACAGGCUGUAUAUGGGUGUUCAGCUUGUACACCACAUGCCUCCCUGGUGUCUACAGAUGUCAGAAGUGUCAGGUGCCCUGGAAUUGCGGUCAUGGAUGAUGGUGGACUCCCAUAUGGUUGUUGCAAACUGAACCUAGGUCUUCUGCAAGAGCAACAAGUUCUCUUAACUGCUGAGCCAUCUCUCCAGCUCCCAUACUUUCUCUUUUAAGUUUUAAGGUUUUCCAUUUAUGUGAGUGUGUGUGUGUGUGUGGGGGGGGGGUGUUUGAACAUACCACAGCACACAUCUGGCAUUCAGAGGACAGAGGCAGUUCUCUCUUUCCACAUUGUGGGUUCCACAAGUCUAACUCACACUGUUGGGCCUGUGCAGCAAGCUCCUUGAUCUGCUGAGCCAUCUUGCCAGUCUGAUUUUCCAUCUUUUUCCCCAGGCUACACGUAAGCAAGUGGCAUGCCCUGAGUGAGUGCCAUUUUCAUAUCACAGUGUGAAACACAUUAUCAAUAGAGUUUGGCGAGAAACAGAUGAAGAGCUACUUUAAAUGCUCAGCACAUAGCACAGGAUAAGGCAAAUGCCUCAUAACAAUAGAGACUCGGAGUUCUCCAACUCUCUAAUCUAUGUAUGGACACGGGUAAAGACGUCUCCAGUGUGUCUGAUAUGCCACAAGCCUUGGUGCAUGCUUCUCUUUUGUGAGAUACCUAUUCUAAGCCACAGGGACUCUAAACACUUGGUAAGGAUUUUCUAAAACAAUGAAUAAUUCAUAAAGCAUUUAGCAGAACUCUUAAGCUACAACCAUGAUCCAUGCAGCCCCUUUAGAGAUGUAGCUCAUUGGCAGAACCUAGCAUGCAGGAGGGGCUAGGAUCAAUCAAUCCUCAGCAACAUGAAAAAUCCAAGCAAAAAGAAGUUGAUUCUUUCUGGGCAGUGGUGGUGUCCACGUUUGAUCCCAGCACUCAAGAGACAGAGGUAGGCAGAUCUCUGUGAGUUCGAGGCCAGCCUGGUCUACAGAGCUAAUUCUAGGACAGCCAAGGCUACACAAAGAACCACUGUCUCAAACAAACAAAAAACAAAGUAGACUCUCUUGGUCCCCUUUUGGCUAAACCAUCUUCUUUUGCAAUUAACCAAGAGGUUCAUAAAGAACGUGAGAACUAUGCAUUAAAGGUUAGAUGCUAUGCAUGUAAUCAAACAUUGCUGAGCCUCUGCCUGCCCUUCGGUACAAUGGUUCCCGAACGAGAGACUGCAUUCUAUGAAAACCCAAGGUGCUCACCUCACACACUGCUAAAUGAGUGUCAGCCACCUAACUUUCCAUCUGAUGACAUUUUCCAUUGAGUGAUAAGUAGUGAUCAAUGGAACCCCAGCCCACACCACCUUCAUAAUUAGUAGCAAGUCCUGAUUGAUGGACACUAUGCCCAGGAACCUUUCAAUAGGCUG
RNAcentral lists this long non-coding RNA (2023 nucleotides) under Mus musculus (house mouse). RNAcentral describes it as "predicted gene, 46411". Lineage: Eukaryota; Metazoa; Chordata; Mammalia; Rodentia; Muridae. The record is from RNAcentral.